GCAAGUCGACUGGAAUUCACCUUCGGGUGAUAGUACGGUGGCGGACGGGUGAGUAACGCGUAAAGAACUUGCCCUCUAGACUGGGACAACUGUUGGAAACGACAGCUAAUACCGGAUAUUAUGGAACUGUGACAUCGCAGAUCUAUGAAAGGCUAUAUGCGCUAGAGGAGAGCUUUGCGUCCCAUUAGGUAGUUGGUAGGGUAAUGGCCUACCAAGGCGACGAUCUCUAGCUGGUCUGAGAGGAUGAUC
This 249-nucleotide ribosomal RNA is filed under the name uncultured bacterium. Its description in RNAcentral is "partial 16S ribosomal RNA". It matches the Rfam family "Bacterial small subunit ribosomal RNA", at positions 57 to 305 of the family's 1533-position model. The record is from RNAcentral.